CAGCCCGGUAAUUCCAGCUCCAAUAGCGUAUAUUAAAGUUGUUGCAGUUAAAAAGCUCGUAGUUGAAUUUCGGGAUUGACGUGACGGUCAUGCCUUAAGGGGUAUGAACUGUUACAGUUGAUUUCUCACCUUCUGGAGAAACUUGAUGUCCUUUAUUGGGUGUCUUGCGGAUCCAGGACCUUUACCUUGAAAAAAUUAGAGUGUUUAAAGCAGGCAUUUUUGCUCGAAUACAUUAGCAUGGAAUAAUAGAAUAGGACGGCAUGGUUCUAUUUUGUUGGUUUCUAGGAUCACCGUAAUGAUUAAUAGGGAUAGUUGGGGGCAUUAGUAUUCAAUUGUCAGAGGUGAAAUUCUUGGAUUUAUUGAAGACUAACUACUGCGAAAGCAUUUGCCAAGGAUGUUUUCAUUAAUCAAGAACGAAAGUUAGGGGAUCGAAGACGAUCAGAUACCGUCGUAGUCUUAACCAUAAACUAUGCCGACUAGGAAUCAGACGAUGUUAAUUUUUUAAUGACUCGUUUGGCACCUUACG
This 526-nucleotide unclassified non-coding RNA is filed under the name uncultured Glomeromycotina. RNAcentral's name for it is "SSU rRNA". It matches the Rfam family "Eukaryotic small subunit ribosomal RNA", at positions 571 to 1092 of the family's 1831-position model. The record is from RNAcentral. Lineage: Eukaryota; Fungi; Glomeromycota.